This 526-nucleotide ribosomal RNA is filed under the name uncultured eukaryote. RNAcentral's name for it is "eukaryotic LSU rRNA". It matches the Rfam family "Eukaryotic large subunit ribosomal RNA", at positions 1111 to 1638 of the family's 3401-position model. The record is from RNAcentral.
AAUAGUAAGUUCUUAGUGGGCCAUUUUUGGUAAGCAGAACUGGCGAUGUGGGAUGAACCAAACGUAAAGUUAAAGUGCCUAAAAAUACGUUCAUCAGAUACCACAAAAGGUGUUGAUUCAUCUUGACAGUUGGACAGUGGCCAUGGAAGUCGGAAUCUGCUAAGGAGUGUGUAACAACUCACCAACCGAAUGAAUUAGCCCUGAAAAUGGAUGGCGCUUAAACGUAUUACUUAUACUUUACCAUUAAAGUAAAUGCUAAAACUUUAAUGAGUAGGAGGGCGUAUGGAUAAUUUAGAAGAUUGACAGUGAUGUCGAUUGGAAUUAUCUUUAGUGCAGAUCUUGGUGGUAGUAGCAAAUAUUCAAUAGAGAACAUUGAAGACUGAAGUGGAGAAAGGUUUCACAUGAACAACACUUGGAUGUGAGUUAGUCGAUCCUAAACGGUGGGUUAACUCCAAAUACAUGAAUACUUGUAUUCUGUACCGUGAAAGGGAAACAGGUUAAUAUUCCUGUACUAUAUCAAGGAGGU